GAUGAACGCUGGCGGCGUGCCUAAUACAUGCAAGUCGAGCGAACGGACGAGAAGCUUGCUUCUCUGAUGUUAGCGGCGGACGGGUGAGUAACACGUGGAUAACCUACCUAUAAUACUGGGAUAACUUCGGGAAACCGUAGCUUAUACCGGAUAAUAUUUUGAACCGCAUGGUUCAAAAGUGAAAGACGGUCUUGCUGUCACUUAUAGAUGCAUCCGCGCUGCAUUAGCUAGUUGGUAAGGUAACGGCUUACCAAGGCAACGAUGCAUAGCCGACGUGAGAGAGUGAUCGGCCACACUGGAGCUGGGACGCGGUCCAGACUCCUACGGGAGGCAGCAGUAGGGAAUCUUCCGCAGUGGGCGAAAGCCUGACGGAGCAACGCCGCGUGAGUGAUGAAGGUCUUCGGAUCGUAAAACUCUGUUAUUAGGGAAGAACAUAUGUGUAAGUAACUGUGCACAGCUUGACGGUACCUAAUCAGAAAGCCACGGCUAACUACGUG
This 497-nucleotide ribosomal RNA is filed under the name uncultured bacterium. RNAcentral describes it as "partial 16S ribosomal RNA". It matches the Rfam family "Bacterial small subunit ribosomal RNA", at positions 28 to 507 of the family's 1533-position model. The record is from RNAcentral.